GACGAACGCUGGCGACGUGCUUAACACAUGCAAGUCGAACGGAAAGGCCCUGCUUUUGUGGGGUGCUCGAGUGGCGAAAGGGUGAGUAACACGUGAGUAACCUGCCCUUGACUGUGGGAUAACUUCAGGAAACUGGGGCUAAUACCGGAUAGGAGCUCCUGCUGCAUGGUGGGGGUUGGAAAGUUUCGGCGGUUGGGGAUGGACCCGCGGCUUAUCAGCUUGUUGGUGGGGUAGUGGCUUACCAAGGCUUUGCCGGGUGGCCGGCCUGAGAGGGUGACCGGCCACAUUGGGACGGAGAGACGGCACAGCCUCAUACGGGAGGGAGGAGGGGGGAAUAUUGCAUGAGGGGCGGGAGCAUGACGGAGCAACCCCGCGUGCGGGAUGACGGCCGUCGGGUUGUAAACCGCUUUCGCCUGCGACGAAGCGUGAGUGAGGGUAAUGGGUAAAGAAGCACCGGCUACCUACUU
Molecule: ribosomal RNA, 467 nt
Filed under: uncultured bacterium
Lineage: Bacteria
Description: partial 16S ribosomal RNA
Rfam family: Bacterial small subunit ribosomal RNA
Source: RNAcentral